This 774-nucleotide ribosomal RNA is filed under the name uncultured Verrucomicrobiota bacterium. RNAcentral's name for it is "bacterial SSU rRNA". It matches the Rfam family "Bacterial small subunit ribosomal RNA", at positions 36 to 750 of the family's 1533-position model. Lineage: Bacteria; Pseudomonadati; Verrucomicrobiota. The record is from RNAcentral.
CUGGCGGCGUGUUUAGACAUGCAAGUCGCACGGGACUAUUUGAGUAGCAAUACAAGAAUAGUCUAGUGGCGCACGGGUGAGUAACACGUGAAUUACAUGCCCUGCAGAGGGGGAUAGCCCAGGGAAACUUGGAUUAAUACCCCAUGGUCCCAGCACUUUUUAAAGGUUCCGAAGUCCGGCAGGACGGCGGAGUUUUCAAAAAGUGCUGGGUAAAGGUGGCCGCAAGGCUGUCGCUGCAGGAUUGGUUCGCGCCCUAUCAGCUUGUUGGUGAGGUAACGGCUCACCAAGGCUACGACGGGUACCUGGUCUGAGAGGACGAUCAGGCACACUGGAACUGAGACACGGUCCAGACACCUACGGGUGGCAGCAGUCGAGAAUAAUUCACAAUGGGGGCAACCCUGAUGGUGCAACGCCGCGUGGAGGAUGAAGGUCUUCGGAUUGUAAACUCCUGUCAUCCGGGAGUAAGACCUGGCGAUGAAUAGUCGACAGGGUUGAUAGUACCGGAAGAGGAAGGGACGGCUAACUUCGUGCCAGCAGCCGCGGUAAUACGAAGGUCCCGAGCGUUGUUCGGAAUCACUGGGCGUAAAGGGGAGCGUAGGCGGCGUGGUAAGUCAGAUGUGAAAUCCCGGGGCUCAACCCCGGAACUGCAUCCGAUACUGCCGUGCUAGAGGAUUGGAGAGGUAGCUGGAAUUCACGGUGUAGCAGUGAAAUGCGUAGAUAUCGUGAGGAACACUCGUGGCGAAAGCGAGCUACUGGACAACUCCUGACGCUGAG